RNAcentral lists this ribosomal RNA (253 nucleotides) under uncultured bacterium. RNAcentral describes it as "partial 16S ribosomal RNA". It matches the Rfam family "Bacterial small subunit ribosomal RNA", at positions 524 to 776 of the family's 1533-position model. The record is from RNAcentral.
UACGGAGGGGGCUAGCGUUGUUCGGAAUUACUGGGCGUAAAGCGCACGUAGGCGGCUUUGUAAGUUAGAGGUGAAAGCCCAGGGCUUAACCCUGGAAUUGCCUUUAAGACUGCAUCGCUAGAAUCGUGGAGAGGUAAGUGGAAUUCCGAGUGUAGAGGUGAAAUUCGUAGAUAUUCGGAAGAACACCAGUGGCGAAGGCGACUUACUGGACACGUAUUGACGCUGAGGUGCGAAAGCGUGGGGAGCAAACAGG